Molecule: ribosomal RNA, 305 nt
Filed under: uncultured bacterium
Lineage: Bacteria
Description: bacterial SSU rRNA
Rfam family: Bacterial small subunit ribosomal RNA
Source: RNAcentral
CCCUACGGGAGGCAGCAGUGAGGAAUAUUGGUCAAUGGGCUUACGCCUGAACCAGCCAAGUCGCGUGAGGGAAGACUGCCCUAUGGGUUGUAAACCUCUUUUGUCAGGGAGCAAUUGGUGCUACGUGUAGCGUUAUCGAGAGUACCUGAAGAAAAAGCAUCGACUAACUCCGUGCCAGCAGCCGCGGUAAUACGGAGGAUGCGAGCGUUAUCCGGAUUUAUUGGGUUUAAAGGGUGCGUAGGCGGAAUGCCAAGUCAGCGGUAAAAUCGCGGGGCUCAACCUCGCUCCGCCGUUGAAACUGGCGU